RNA transcript from Nymphaea colorata (pocket water lily), 1558 nucleotides. It is a transcript of the gene named developmentally-regulated G-protein 3, with no coding region annotated. The record is from RefSeq and is a predicted model, not a curated record. Lineage: Eukaryota; Viridiplantae; Streptophyta; Magnoliopsida; Nymphaeales; Nymphaeaceae. The transcript is spliced from 11 exons.
CUCUGACUCGCCAAAGAAGAGGGGAGAGCGAGAGAGAGAGAGAGAGGGGAAGGGAGUGAGUUCCAUCCGCGCCAGAGUUGUAGCGCAGCACGAUCAUUACAGGCAGCAAACGUGAUUUACCAUGGCGACCAUCAUGCAGAAAAUCAAGGAUAUUGAAGACGAGAUGGCAAGGACACAAAAGAAUAAAGCUACCGCCCAUCAUCUCGGUUUACUAAAGGCUAAACUUGCAAAGCUACGAAGGGAGCUCCUAGCACCUCCGUCAAAAGGUGGUGGUGGUGGUGCUGGGGAAGGUUUUGAUGUUACAAAAAGUGGAGAUUCUCGAGUUGGCCUGGUUGGAUUUCCUUCAGUUGGAAAAUCAACCUUGCUUAAUAAAUUAACUGGUACUUUUUCGGAGGUUGCAUCUUAUGAAUUUACCACACUAACUUGCAUUCCAGGUGUGAUUAGUUACAGAGGUGCCAAAAUUCAGCUAUUGGAUCUCCCUGGUAUUAUUGAAGGUGCAAAGGAUGGCAAGGGAAGAGGAAGACAGGUGAUCAGCACUGCAAGGACAUGCAACUGUAUCUUGAUUGUCCUUGAUGCCAUAAAGCCAAUAACUCACAAGCGUCUGAUAGAGAAAGAACUUGAAGGAUUUGGCAUAAGAUUAAACAAGGAGCCACCAAAUUUGACCUUCAGGAAGAAGGAUAAGGGUGGAAUAAGUCUCACAUCAACAGUUGCAACCUCCCAUCUGGACCUCGAAACUGUGAAAGCCAUCUGUGGGGAAUAUAGAAUUCAUAAUGCUGAUAUCUCUCUUCGCUAUGAUGCUACUGUUGAUGACCUUAUAGAUGUAAUUGAGGGUAGCAGAAUAUAUACACCUUGCAUUUAUGUUGUUAACAAGAUUGACCAAAUAACUGUUGAGGAGUUAGAGAUCUUGGACAAACUUCCUCAUUAUUGUCCUGUGAGUGCACACCUAGAAUGGAAUCUUGAUGGUCUACUUGAGAAGAUAUGGGAAUAUCUAGACUUGACUCGCAUAUAUACAAAACCAAAAGGGAUGAAUCCAGACUAUGAUGACCCUGUAAUCUUGUCAUCUAAGAGAAGGACCGUGGAGGACUUCUGCACUAGAAUCCACAAAGAUAUGGUGAAGCAAUUCAAAUAUGCGUUGGUUUGGGGAUCUAGUGUGAAGCACAAGCCGCAAAGGGUUGGCAAGGAACAUGAGCUUGAAGAUGAGGACGUUGUUCAGAUAAUUAAGAAGGUUUAAUCCAAUGGGAUAAAUUUCAAGAAGCAUUUCCAGGUGAACCUUGACACUGUCUUUGGUUUUAGUGAGGAGAGCGGGACGUUUGUCUCAGAAUCAGCAGAUGGUAGUAAGCAUGGUGACUUUUGUGGACUGCUGCGGCUAUAGAAUAGUGAAACUUGAGGCAUGUCUGCAAUGUUACAAAGUUUCAGUUGUAAUUAUUUUUGUUCUUUUAGUUUAAGAUACAUUAGCGGUGAGAAGUUUUAUGAGGAUGGUCAAAUGAGAUAAUCCAGACGUCAAACAGGAUCAUCGUGCGAGUUAAUUAUGAAUGACAUUUUAGCCUUCUGAUCUCUA